Molecule: ribosomal RNA, 354 nt
Filed under: uncultured Pseudomonas sp.
Lineage: Bacteria; Pseudomonadati; Pseudomonadota; Gammaproteobacteria; Pseudomonadales; Pseudomonadaceae
Description: bacterial SSU rRNA
Rfam family: Bacterial small subunit ribosomal RNA
Source: RNAcentral
CUGACACAGGUGCUGCAUGGCUGUCGUCAGCUUGUGUCGUGAGAUGUUGGGUUAAGUCCCGUAACGAGCGCAACCCUUGUCCUUAGUUACCAGCACGUUAUGGUGGGCACUCUAAGGAGACUGCCGGUGACAAACCGGAGGAAGGUGGGGAUGACGUCAAGUCAUCAUGGCCCUUACGGCCUGGGCUACACACGUGCUACAAUGGUCGGUACAAAGGGUUGCCAAGCCGCGAGGUGGAGCUAAUCCCAUAAAACCGAUCGUAGUCCGGAUCGCAGUCUGCAACUCGACUGCGUGAAGUCGGAAUCGCUAGUAAUCGUGAAUCAGAAUGUCACGGUGAAUACGUUCCCGGGCCUU